GACGGAGGAUGCAAGUGUUAUCCGGAAUCACUGGGCGUAAAGCGUCUGUAGGUUGUUUAAUAAGUCAACUGUUAAAUCUUGAGGCUCAACCUCAAACUUGCAGUCGAAACUAUUAGACUAGAGUAUAGUAGGGGUAAAGGGAAUUUCCAGUGGAGCGGUGAAAUGCGUAGAUAUUGGAAAGAACACCGAUGGCGAAGGCACUUUACUGGGCUAUUACUGACACUCAGAGACGAAAGCGAGGGUAGCAAAUGGG
This 253-nucleotide ribosomal RNA is filed under the name uncultured bacterium. RNAcentral's name for it is "partial 16S ribosomal RNA". It matches the Rfam family "Bacterial small subunit ribosomal RNA", at positions 524 to 776 of the family's 1533-position model. The record is from RNAcentral.